Molecule: ribosomal RNA, 253 nt
Filed under: uncultured bacterium
Lineage: Bacteria
Description: partial 16S ribosomal RNA
Rfam family: Bacterial small subunit ribosomal RNA
Source: RNAcentral
UACGUAGGGGGCAAGCGUUGUCCGGAAUCAUUGGGCGUAAAGCGCGUGUAGGCGGCCCGAUAAGUCCGCUGUGAAAGUCCAGGGCUCAACCCUGGGAUGCCGGCCGAUACUGUCAGGCUAGAGUCCGGAAGAGGCGAGUGGAAUUCCUGGUGUAGCGGUGAAAUGCGCAGAUAUCAGGAGGAACACCUAUGGCGAAGGCAGCUCGCUGGGACGGUACUGACGCUGAGACGCGAAAGCGUGGGGAGCGAACAGG